Molecule: ribosomal RNA, 460 nt
Filed under: uncultured bacterium
Lineage: Bacteria
Description: partial 16S ribosomal RNA
Rfam family: Bacterial small subunit ribosomal RNA
Source: RNAcentral
CCUACGGGUGACAGCAGUGAGGAAUAUUGGUCAAUGGGCGCGAGCCUGAACCAGCCAAGUCGCGUGAGGGAAGACGGUCCUAUGGAUUGUAAACCUCUUUUGUCGGGGAGCAAAAGACGCCACGCGUGGCGUUCCGAGAGUACCCGAAGAAAAAGCAUCGGCUAACUCCGUGCCAGCAGCCGCGGUAAUACGUAUGGUGCAAGCGUUAUCCGGAUUUACUGGGUGUAAAGGGAGCGCGGGCGGCGCGUUAAGCCUGGUGUGAAAGCCCGGGGCCCAACCGCGGGACUGCAUUGGGAACUGGCGGGCGUGGAGGCCGGAGGGGUAGGGAGAAUUCCUAGUGUAGCGGUGAAAUGCGGAGAUAGUAGGAGGAACACCAGUGGCGAAGGCGGCCUACUGGACGGUGACUGACGCUGAGGCUCGAAAGCGUGGGGAGCAAACAGGAUUAGAUACCCCAGUAGUC